AAUGAUCAGCAGUCACUUUCUCUUUAACAUUAUGACAUAAUCUGUUUUCUUGGGUGUUACCUGCUUUCAUAAUGGUAAAUUUAGAUCCAAAGCUAUUACAUGAAAUUCUCUUGACUGGGAAAAACUUGUUGCAUGAAAAUGAAUGAUGUGCCCAGUUCCUCCUGAGCAGAGUCAUGACAGGUGGAUGGCUUAUUACCUGGAGACAAGACCAUCUUCCCAGUUGAUCACCUGCCAUUCAAUUGUCCCCUUUCCUUCCUAGAAGAGGCUGGAGAGAGGUGCCUGGAGUCCAAAUCUAUGGAAAGAGCUAAAGAGCCAUCUGAAACAGGUUGACAAUGGAUGGGAUGGAUUGCAGGAUCCCUGCUAAGGCUGAUUUUUCUCCUUUCCUGAAAAAUCCACUGAGAUUGCUAAAGCACAAGUGCCUCCUCCUCUUCCCUACCCUUUUAGACAAGUGACGGCUACAAAACAGGAAGAGGAAAGGAAGAAAAGAGAAGGCAAGAAGAGGAUGAGAAAUAUGUAUGAGGAUAUUCAUGCUUCAAUCACAAGCUGAACUAAAUGACUUCUGAGGGUUUUUUUCCCUAACCCUUAAGAUUCUGAUAAUUCUGAAAACUCAAUUGUGAUGUCUUGAGGGUAUUUCAAACUCAACUUGUCCAAAACACAACAUAUUAUAUUUGCUUAGAGUGUAUUCCUUCUCUAAACUUUCUUGCCCUUUUCAAAAUGGGGCAUCACCAUUUGUUUCCAGUCACCCAAAUUUGAUGACAUUCUAUUAUCAUCCUUGGCUCCUCACUCUCAGUUAACUCAUUUUUUAUAAUUUCUUUCUCUGUAACAUCUUUCAUAUACCUUCCCUUUUCUCUAUUCAAACGUCAGGAAUUUAUCAUCCCCUAGAUCAUCCCAUCUAGACUACUAGAAUGAUCUUUUUAUUGUGUUUUUUUUUUUUUACUCUGUUUCUCUCCACUUUUAUCCAUUCAUUCUCCAUUCAACUGUCAAAGCAACUAUUCUAAUGUUUGAAUCUGGCUAUGUUACUUCUGUACUCAGUGAAUUCUCUAUUACCUCUAGGAUCAAAUAUAAA
Long non-coding RNA from Sarcophilus harrisii (Tasmanian devil), 1066 nucleotides. RefSeq lists it as uncharacterized. The transcript is spliced from 4 exons. Lineage: Eukaryota; Metazoa; Chordata; Mammalia; Dasyuromorphia; Dasyuridae. The record is from RefSeq and is a predicted model, not a curated record.